This 83-nucleotide unclassified non-coding RNA is filed under the name Pseudomonas arsenicoxydans. Lineage: Bacteria; Pseudomonadati; Pseudomonadota; Gammaproteobacteria; Pseudomonadales; Pseudomonadaceae. The record is from RNAcentral.
AAAGAUCGCAGCCUCGUUUCACUCGACAGCUCCUACAUCUAUCCCUUCUAGGAGCUGUCGAGUGAAACGAGGCUGCGAUCUUU